Molecule: long non-coding RNA, 685 nt
Filed under: Homo sapiens (human)
Lineage: Eukaryota; Metazoa; Chordata; Mammalia; Primates; Hominidae
Description: HSALNT0170775
Source: RNAcentral
CCCAGCUCUUUCCAGACCCCAGAGCCUCUACCCUGAACCCCUGCACUCUACAGGGAGCUCUCCACCUGCAGUUUUGCACCUGGCGUCUCAUAUCUGAGUCUCACAUUACCCUGUCCCUGUCUUCACCCCAGCUGCAGAAGUGCACACCCCUCCCCACCCAGACACUGUGUCUGUGUCUGUGGCCGCGCCCAGGAGGCUGUUGGGGGCGGGGGGGGAGGACAGGUCUCUGAGGGGCCCAGGGCAAAGGUAAUGACAAUUGGUGCUCACACCUGCCUGUGGGAUUUCACCUGGGCGCUCCCUAGCUCUCGCUGGCUUUGUCACCCGGACCGCUCCACGGGUGGCUGCCAUAUCCCACAGUUAAAAGGAGGCUGCAGGGACGGAGGAGCUGCCUCUGCUGCAUGUUGGGCCUCAGGGGGAGGCGGUCUGGUGGACGGGGUCUUCUGAAGUGGGAGGAGGAAAGGCAGAGGAACAGGGUCCAGGGUCCACAGAGGAAGAGCAGGAGGCCCACGGGGAACCUCGACCAAAGUUCUCUGCCAAGGCAGGGCAGGGCCACCUGCCAGGACGUCCAGGCCAAACUCUUGCCUCUUCAGGAGCUGCACUCAAACCCGGAAGCCAAGAGUCAAGCUGAGUCUGGGGGAAAUAAAGUUUAUAAUAAUAGACUUGAAUGUGGAAAAAUAAAGCAAAU